RNAcentral lists this ribosomal RNA (497 nucleotides) under uncultured bacterium. RNAcentral describes it as "partial 16S ribosomal RNA". It matches the Rfam family "Bacterial small subunit ribosomal RNA", at positions 28 to 507 of the family's 1533-position model. The record is from RNAcentral.
GAUGAACGCUGGCGGCGUGCCUAAUACAUGCAAGUCGAGCGAACAGACGAGGAGCUUGCUCCUUUGACGUUAGCGGCGGACGGGUGAGUAACACGUGGAUAACCUACCUAUAAGACUGGGAUAACUUCGGGAAACCGGAGCUAAUACCGGAUAACAUGUUGAACCGCAUGGUUCAACAGUGAAAGACGGUCUUGCUGUCACUUAUAGAUGGGUCCGCGCCGCAUUAGCUAGUUGGUAAGGUAACGGCUUACCAAGGCAACGAUGCGUAGCCGACCUGAGAGGGUGAUCGGCCACACUGGAACUGAGACACGGUCCAGACUCCUACGGGAGGCAGCAGUAGGGAAUCUUCCGCAAUGGGCGAAAGCCUGACGGAGCAACGCCGCGUGAGUGAAGAAGGUCUUCGGAUCGUAAAACUCUGUUAUUAGGGAAGAACAAAUGUGUAAGUAACUAUGCACGUCUUGACGGUACCUAAUCAGAAAGCCACGGCUAACUACGUG